CAUCUAAUCCCCUCCCUGAUGGUUCUCUGGCGGCUCACUACUCUCAGAUUCCAUCGGCCAGACGGACAGCCUCGGUGCCCUAUCCAUGGCUCGGUCCUUUCUCCCCAAUGCCCUCCUAGCAGACACUACAAGUCCAUGGUCGUUCCCUGCCAGCCACGUUCAUGGAGUUGCGGCCCAUCUUUUUUCCGCCACUGCUUCCACGUCUGCUAUUACUUGGAUUAGGUAUUCUGGUAUGUUGCUGCAACUGUUGUACUCAUUGCCCGCAUUUAUCUGGGUUGUAUUUCUCUUUGUAGAUCAUGAUAUGAAUACUUGUAAUUGACGUGUCUUGAUAGUUACAUCUGCAUCUGACAACGCUUGCCUGGAAGAUCAGCAUCAUGACUCAACUAACUCGCUCCUUGAUAGGGACAUAGAUCUUCAGGCUCCUUAUAAAUGGAUGAGUUUGAGACUCCAUUUUCUCUAACGUUGCAGCUGAUUGUAGUACUGUAACGAAUAUGAAAUUAAGAUUCCAAUCCUCACUGCUGCAAUCAAUGUUUUAGGUUGCUGCAAUCAAGAUAGUCAUCCAAGUUAAGAUUAUGAACUAUACACUCUGGAUGGGCUAACACAGAAAGAAGUAUUCAGUGGAGGUUCACUCUGAUUCUUUCUUCAUCAAUGUAUCUGGAAAGUUUUCAAGAAGGGUACAACAGCUGGAAGUUUUGCCGCCCAACUAAAAGCAAGGAUACACCAUCCCUGCAAAUGCGAAUGCAUGGUACAGAUAACUGUUAAUGACAUCAACAAAUGCACUGAAGAUGGAGAAGCAAGAUACUAGAUUUUUUAAAAAAAAUUGGUAGUUCGUAGACAGUUCUUACUAUUUAGAGGCAGAAAAUGUAUGUAAAAUUGUGUAAAUGCACUGUCUGGAUGCUUGAACUUGUUCGUCUCUUUAUUUUUCUCUUCAGCACGAUAAUUACUUGUACUCAAGGUCCAAGUCUAUAAUAUAUGUACAGUGUAAUUUUGAAAAUGACAUUGC
Molecule: long non-coding RNA, 1003 nt
Organism: Lolium rigidum
Lineage: Eukaryota; Viridiplantae; Streptophyta; Magnoliopsida; Poales; Poaceae
Exons: 4
Source: RefSeq, a predicted model, not a curated record